This 224-nucleotide small RNA is filed under the name Paenibacillus sp. RNAcentral describes it as "c-di-AMP sequence". It matches the Rfam family "c-di-AMP riboswitch aptamer (ydaO/yuaA leader)". From Rfam's summary of the family: This family represents a conserved RNA structure found upstream of the ydaO and yuaA genes in Bacillus subtilis and related genes in other bacteria. The ydaO/yuaA element is thought to act as a genetic "off" switch for the ydaO and yuaA genes in its native state. It is believed that the element may be triggered during osmotic shock leading to activation of ydaO, a predicted amino acid transporter gene, and members of the yuaA-yubG operon which code for KtrA and KtrB K+ transporters. Lineage: Bacteria; Bacillati; Bacillota; Bacilli; Caryophanales; Paenibacillaceae. RNAcentral also lists the same sequence under 1 other name. The record is from RNAcentral.
UGCUAUAAGUCGCUUAAUUUCUGCCUAAUAUGGCGGAGAGCGGGGGAACCACAGUAAGGCAGCGUGCUUGAUUCGGUGUGAGAGCCGAAUGAUACACGAUGCAUGGGGUGAAUUCUGAUCCGAAGAUUCAUAUGAAAUGUCAUAUGGAAUCAUGAGGAACAGAUAGGACGACUCUCACCGUCCGAAUCCGACAGCUAACCUCGUAAGCUGUACAGAGUUACACU